This 72-nucleotide transfer RNA is filed under the name Diplodactylus vittatus. RNAcentral's name for it is "tRNA-Gln". It matches the Rfam family "tRNA". From Rfam's summary of the family: Transfer RNA (tRNA) molecules are approximately 80 nucleotides in length. Lineage: Eukaryota; Metazoa; Chordata; Lepidosauria; Squamata; Diplodactylidae. The record is from RNAcentral.
UAGAAAGUAGUAUAAUUGGUAGUACGUGAAGUUUUGGGCUUUUCGGCGUGGGUUCAAUGCCCAUUUUUCUAG